RNAcentral lists this non-coding RNA (180 nucleotides) under Eubacterium minutum ATCC 700079. Its description in RNAcentral is "6S RNA". It matches the Rfam family "6S / SsrS RNA". From Rfam's summary of the family: E. coli 6S RNA was the first non coding RNA to be sequenced, but its function was unknown until recently. It consists of 184 nucleotides that fold into an extended hairpin structure with a large single-stranded internal bulge. The record is from RNAcentral. Lineage: Bacteria; Bacillati; Bacillota; Clostridia; Peptostreptococcales; Anaerovoracaceae.
GGUUGCCUGGAACACAUGUCAAGGGCUCUUAAUUGAACCUACAACACUUGAAUGGGAAUCUGAAGUUCGUCCUGCGAUGUCGUGCCGCGCUUGUCGCGGAAGGCAAAUCUUGAUGACAGGAUACCCACCUAUCCUUAGGAUAGGCGUCAAUUAAGCCCUGACGGCGUUUCCGGGUUAUUU